RNAcentral lists this ribosomal RNA (460 nucleotides) under uncultured bacterium. RNAcentral describes it as "partial 16S ribosomal RNA". It matches the Rfam family "Bacterial small subunit ribosomal RNA", at positions 338 to 795 of the family's 1533-position model. The record is from RNAcentral.
CCUACGGGUGGCAGCAGUGAGGAAUAUUGGUCAAUGGACGCAAGUCUGAACCAGCCAUGCCGCGUGCAGGAAGACGGCUCUAUGAGUUGUAAACUGCUUUUGUACGAGCGUAAACGCAGAUACGCGUUUCUGUUUGAAAGUAUCGUCCGCAUAAGGAUCGGCUCACUCCGUGCCAGCAGCCGCGGUAAUACGGAGGAUUCAAGCGUUAUCCGGAUUUAUUGUGUUUAAAGGGUGCGUAGGCGGUCGGAUAAGUUAGAUGUGAAAUCCCGAGGCUCAACUUCGGAAUUGCCUCUGAUACUGUUCGGCUAGAGAGUAGUUGCGGUAGGCGGAAUGUAUGGUGUAGCGGUGAAAUGCUUAGAGAUCAUACAGAACACCGAUUGCGAAGGCAGCUUACCAAGCUACUUCUGACGUUGAGGCACGAAAGCGUGGGGAGCAAACAGGAUUAGAUACCCCAGUAGUC